This 238-nucleotide ribosomal RNA is filed under the name uncultured bacterium. RNAcentral's name for it is "partial 16S ribosomal RNA". It matches the Rfam family "Bacterial small subunit ribosomal RNA", at positions 96 to 334 of the family's 1533-position model. The record is from RNAcentral.
CGGCGGACGGGUGAGUAACGCGUGGGUAACCUGCCUCAUACAGGGGGAUAACAGUUAGAAACGGCUGCUAAUACCGCAUAAGACCACAGUACUGCAUGGUACAGUGGUAAAAACUCCGGUGGUAUGAGAUGGACCCGCGUCUGAUUAGGUAGUUGGUGAGGUAACGGCCCACCAAGCCGACGAUCAGUAGCCGACCUGAGAGGGUGACCGGCCACAUUGGGACUGAGACACGGCCCAG